UUGGCACAAGAAAAGCAGCCCGAUAGCAGUCAACCCUAAUAGCACAAUGUUCAUCUCCGUUCUUUGUUUCGUCUGAUCUUCUUUUUCAUCGACCAAAAACGUUACCAGUUACAGAUUCGUCUCAUUAAACCUCUUCUUAACUCCAUCAACCAUGAUCUGGUCUUGAAUGUGAACAACUUCUCCGAGGCGGUGUCACAGCGAAUAUAAAAAGUUAAGCCUUCCUCUUCUCAAAACCAUCUUCUCGAUCUGUUGAACCAACAAAGUUGAUGCGUUGACUUCCUCUCCCUAGCAAAGGGAAACAUGAACGGUUAGUGGCUACACUCAAUCGAUUCGUCUGGACUUCUUCUUAAAUCGUUAUGGGCGUCAAUAUGCUUCUCCUUGAAGCCAAGGUUGCUCCGGCGAUUUAGAAAACAAACUCAAGUUUUUUCUAUGAUGAUUUAAAGUCAAAGUCUUUACAAGCUGAGUUUGGCGAAAAGAGGAGCUUUGGUCGCGGUUUCUGUAUUACAGUUAAGAGAUUGCAACAUAUAAAAAAAUUACUAACGCUCUGCUUCAUAGAAGGAUAUUACUGAAGAAAACAAAUCUCAUCCAUGCCCAACAGAGUAGUUAUUCCGUGUUGAUAUUGUUAAUAAAUGGAAAGAGUCUUCAACGGUUUCAGUGCUGCCCAGAUGUUUAGAGAAUAUCAAGAUGUCUGAUACGGCCUUACUGGGGGAUUAGAAUUCUUUUGGUUCAAUGGAAAAUUAGCUCAGAAGUCCAGUGAAAAAGUGUUGAAGGAUGCAAUGAAACCAUCACAAAACAGUUCUGCUUAUGUCUAUGAAAGUUGGCGUCGAACUGAAUCUAACCGCUUCGUCACACAUCUUCUUAACGCGUAGGGCAGAAAAGAAUGGCAUGUGGAAGAAGCUUCAUUGUUAAAACCAGGUUACCUUCUACACUCCUAGGCGUGACAAGUCAGAUAAUAGGAAAACAAAAGCUUGCUACAUGUCUCUCUAAGGUAGUUUUGUUGCUUCCUGAAUUGGUCUAAACAAGCAGAAGAAGGCUAAGGGAAACCGGAACAUCAUUUUCUGGUUGGAGACAGAAGCGCUUGGAAUGCAUUGGAUCGUUUGGUGCAAGAAACUUUUAUGUCUAAGAAAUGAGAGGAGAAGAAGGUGGUCAAGUAAAGUGAUGGAAGAUCUAACUCCAUUAAUGGAGCUAUAAUAGGAGGAAGCUUUAUGCUUGGAU
This is a long non-coding RNA of Brassica oleracea var. oleracea, 1215 nucleotides long. RefSeq lists it as uncharacterized. NCBI's taxonomy places the organism in Eukaryota, Viridiplantae, Streptophyta, Magnoliopsida, Brassicales, Brassicaceae. The transcript is spliced from 9 exons. The record is from RefSeq and is a predicted model, not a curated record.